UGAGGUCUUAACACAUUACUAACUAAUAAUAAAUUAAUUAAUCAGCCAGCAGGAAGUGAUGUAAUAUCAAGGGAGCUAUAAAGGGAUGCCCCUAUAUUGCCUCUCAUUCUGUAGUUGGUAUUCAAUGAGGUUGCACUUGUUCCUGUAAAAAGGAAUAGUUUCGUUCAGGAUUUGAAAUUUUCCUAAGUUCUCUGUUUGGUGACAUGUAUAAACAGAGGUAGACUAUAAGGUUCCACCAUUCUUGAUUGAAAAUAGGGAACGUAACAUCAUCUAAUUUCAACCAAAUUUAUAUAUAUUUUUUUGAAGUCUAUCUAGAUAUUAUAUUUAUCGAAUUGAAUAUGUGAUUGGAUGUAAUCAUUGGAUAUUCUAAACCUUUCUAAUCAAUGGUAAUCACUCCUACUAUAAGAACUGAUUCCAAACCCCUGAUGAAGUCCUAACGGACGAAACGCGUUGGGUUUUGCAACGUCUGGUUAACAAAGUCCUUAUCACAAACAUCUGGUUGGAGAUACAUCCAUUUCGAGUUCUGACUGUGAUCACCUGGCUGUAAAAUCCUCACAUCCAACUGUAAUUUAUGUAUAAGAUUGUAAUAUUGUUUUAUAUGAAUUUUUAGAAGGUUGUGUCAAUAACGAACGCUUAGGAUAAAUAUC
Pseudophryne corroboree (corroboree frog) is the source of this 647-nucleotide long non-coding RNA. RefSeq lists it as uncharacterized. NCBI's taxonomy places the organism in Eukaryota, Metazoa, Chordata, Amphibia, Anura, Myobatrachidae. The record is from RefSeq and is a predicted model, not a curated record. The transcript has 5 exons.